This 842-nucleotide long non-coding RNA is filed under the name Homo sapiens (human). Its description in RNAcentral is "HSALNT0054271". The record is from RNAcentral. Lineage: Eukaryota; Metazoa; Chordata; Mammalia; Primates; Hominidae.
CACUAGUGGGAGCUUCUCGGUGCCUGCGUGAAGACGCCCUCUUGCCUCCGGGAAAAGUAUCGUCUGCAUCUUCUUGCUCCAGGAGCGGGGGUGGGGAGCGCAGCGCGGAGGAGGCAGCGCUGAGAUGACUCAACAGUGCGGCAUUUGGGGGCGCCGCGGAGGCUGGGACUGCGUAAGCGGCGAUAGGGUAGGACCCACAGCCUCCUCGCAGGCAUUCUUGGAGCUCGGUUCCGCGGUCGGUCCGGAUCUCCCGGGAAGUCUCGCCGGAGUCAGGCAGGCCUUAGGAAGAAGCUGCCUGAUGUGCAAGGUUUCAUAGGCCGUCAGAGGGGGCAUCCUGGAGGAGCCCUGGCAUCAGGAAAGUGAGCCCCCCAUGGCAGCCCGCAGGAAUGAACCAGUGCUCAGGGCAGAAAAAUUCUGCCUGACCUUUCCCAUCUUCCUGAUGAUGUUAACAAACGACAGCCACUGAGGGCACAGGAGGGGGCUCUACACAGGCCAAGAGCUACAGGCUACAGUCUGAGCACAGAAAACCCUCCAGCUCCAGCAUCCAGGGCCACAGCUGGACACAAGUACAGAACCUGGCAGCCCUGCAGCCCAGACAAUGCCCAGGGUGUGAUUUAGGGUGCAGAGCUGCAACUCAGAUCCUGUGCCAUGGCAGUAUCACAGGAAGGACUUGACGGAGAGGUGAAGGCUCCAGACGCCAGGAUAUUUAUUCCCUGUGCCAAUACAGCAUUCACACCUGACCUCCAGGUCCUGCAGCAGUCUCUCCCUUGCUGGGGACAACACAGGAAGAGACAAAACCUGAGGAAGGAAAAAGGGAACCUGCAACCAGCCAUGGACCUCAU